CAGCCGCCGCGGGAAUACGUAGUUCCCGAGCGUUGUCCGGAUUUAUUGGGCGUAAAGCGAGCGCAGGCGGUUUGAUAAGUCUGAAGUUAAAGGCUGUGGCUCAACCAUAGUUCGCUUUGGAAACUGUCAAACUUGAGUGCAGAAGGGGAGAGUGGAAUUCUAUGUGUAGCGGUGAAAUGCGUAGAUAUAUGGAGGAACACCGGUGGCGAAAGCGGCUCUCUGGUCUGUAACUGACGCUGAGGCUCGAAAGCGUGGGGAGCGAACAGGAUUAGAUACCCGAGUAGUCCCUGUCUCUUAUACA
Molecule: ribosomal RNA, 301 nt
Filed under: uncultured bacterium
Lineage: Bacteria
Description: partial 16S ribosomal RNA
Rfam family: Bacterial small subunit ribosomal RNA
Source: RNAcentral